GCCAGUAGCAUGUUUUGUCUCAGAGAUUAAGCCAUGCAUGUCUAAGUAUGCAUGGCUGGUACAGUGAAACUGCGAAUGGCUC
RNAcentral lists this precursor RNA (82 nucleotides) under Pongo pygmaeus (Bornean orangutan). RNAcentral describes it as "precursor 2b_random_1582 miRNA". It matches the Rfam family "Eukaryotic small subunit ribosomal RNA", at positions 16 to 99 of the family's 1831-position model. The record is from RNAcentral. Lineage: Eukaryota; Metazoa; Chordata; Mammalia; Primates; Hominidae.